UUCUUUCUUAGGGAAGAAAGAUGACGGUACCUAAGGAAUAAAGCACCGGCUAAAUACGUGCCAGCAGCCGCGGUAAUACGUAUGGUGCAAGCGUUAUCCGGAAUCACUGGGCGUAAAGGGUACGUAGGCGGUGAUGCAAGUCAGAAGUGAAAGGCUACGGCUCAACCGUAGUAAGCUUUUGAAACUGCAUGACUAGAGUUCAGGAGAGGUAAGUGGAAUUCCUAGUGUAGAGGUGAAAUUCGUAGAUAUUAGGAGGAACACCAGUGGCGAAGGCGACUUACUGGACUGAUACUGACGCUGAGGUACGAAAGCGUGGGGAGCGAACAGGAUUAGAUACCCUGGUAG
RNAcentral lists this ribosomal RNA (345 nucleotides) under uncultured bacterium. RNAcentral's name for it is "bacterial SSU rRNA". It matches the Rfam family "Bacterial small subunit ribosomal RNA", at positions 432 to 793 of the family's 1533-position model. The record is from RNAcentral.